ACCUGGCUGGCUCAGUGGGUGGAGCAUGUGACUCGUGAUCUCUGGGUUAUGAGUUCGAGCCCCAUGUUGGAUG
RNAcentral lists this transfer RNA (73 nucleotides) under Ailuropoda melanoleuca (giant panda). It matches the Rfam family "tRNA". Rfam says of the family: Transfer RNA (tRNA) molecules are approximately 80 nucleotides in length. Lineage: Eukaryota; Metazoa; Chordata; Mammalia; Carnivora; Ursidae. The record is from Rfam by way of RNAcentral.